Molecule: long non-coding RNA, 4759 nt
Filed under: Macaca mulatta (Rhesus monkey)
Lineage: Eukaryota; Metazoa; Chordata; Mammalia; Primates; Cercopithecidae
Description: lncRNA (ENSMMUG00000058143.1)
Source: RNAcentral
AUGAACAACCUCUUUGCCCUGGCUCAGGCAACGUCUGCCUUAUCAUUAGUAAGGGACUGCCCUGAACUCCAACGAGAGUCUCUUGUAAUAUUCUCACACCUAGUUGUUUUCAAUUACUUCAACUUUUUUCCAAAACCAAUCUGCAGAAUGUCAGAGCCUGAGACAACUGGAGCGAUACUCUUCACUCCCUGCAUUAUUUUACAGAUGAGGGAACGGAGACUUAGAGAGGAAGAACCUGUCCAAGAUGGUGGAGCAAAUGGCAGCCUCAGGAAGAAGAUCAUGACCAGUUCCCUGAAAGGAGCCAUCCAGAGGACACUGGAUUCUUUGGGAAAGAUCACCAAAAAAAGAAGGAAGAUGUAAACAUUUAGAAGAAAAAUCUAGAGAAUUUAAAAGUUGUCUAAUGACAUCUAGAAGCCUAGACCUCCAUAAAAGCUUACUUUCAUCUUAGAUCACCCAGAUCAUUUCAAAGAACUUGCAAGGAAGAGAACACAUAGACUCAGUGACUCAGGGGUGUGGAAUCUCCCUUUCUCUUGAGAGCACUAAGGGUUAUGUGCAUACAUAACAAUGAGGGGAAAAUUAGGGACCCAGACUGACUUGUGGUAUCAGGAAGAUAUCCAAGGUCAGAGGAGGCAAGUCUGGAAAAAUCAGGAAGGAAUUAAAGGUCACAGCAGAUAAUGAUCUGAGCCCAGAAAAAUCAGAUCAAACUGGAGUGACUGGAAGGCUCUGAAAAGUUAAAACAGAACACAUCUGGGCUUCAAGAGGUUGUAUAAUUCCAGGAUGUGGCAUUGCCAGGAGAAAUGAUUCUAAGUUGGAAGUUUUAGAGAAAUACAUUAUUUACCACUUAUUCGCUAUAUGACCUUGGACAAAUCAUUGAAUCUCUAUGCGCCCCUUCCUUUCAUUAUAAAGUGAGAAUAGUAAGGCUUAUCUUCUUGUAAGGAUUAAUAUAUGCAAAAUGUCUGGAAUAGAUCUUGAUUGAUAGGUGCUCAAAAAUUAUAUGAUUAUUUCUAAGACUGAAGCUCUUUCACAUCAGGAAACCUUGUUCCUCUCUCUAUGUGCUUCUACUGUAACCUAAUAUGCUCUCAGUGCUGCUUCAGAGAAAGGAUAAAGCUACUACUACCUCCCCUCCCCCCACCUCCUACCUUCACACUCUUCACAUGCCUCGACUCGUCUCUGCUAACUCAAAACAUUUAGAGACAGAUGAUGGCAUCUGUACAUAUGUGGCUCGGCUUGAAAUUUCUUACUGACCUUGACUGUAAGAGUGACCAGGAUAGGGAAGAACCUCAAAAUCAUAUCAUAUGAGGAUUGAAUUCACAGUGGAGAAAAACGGGGAAAUUUCAUUUGGAACAGAAAUGAUAAAAAUCAAGGACUAUAUGAUAGCCGUCAUAAAAUAUUUGGUUCAAUUUAGGUCUAUUCUGGGGAAAUAGUGAUGUCUUUACCUCUGGGUGGCCACUUCUGGGGGAUUUGAAAAGAGAGUUCUCACGUGAGAAAGAGUGAGACUCCAAGAACCUCCAAGGUCUCUUGACUUGAGAGUCUAUGGUUUUAGGAGCACAGCUGGCCCACAUGGUGUGUGUGGCAUGGGCAAAGGUGCUGAGUUCUUAGGAAGCAGCUCUGGGCAUGGUCCAACCUUCAGGCAUGAGCCAUGCCACAAAAUUUGCUCUUGGCAUGCAGGGUUGUGGCCUUAGAAUCCUUCUUACCAUAAUUUUCUCGGCGCUGUCUUAAUGCAUUUCCUUUCCAUUCUUCUUUGUCACCAGUUGGCAAUUACACGCUACAGAAAAUGUACACAGAAGGGGUUUGUUUUGGUUACCAUGUAGCAGGGUGGGAGGGAGCUUCGGCUGGUGGCUGAUUCUUUGGGGUGACUGGGCAUGGGUUAUGGGAAUGGAGGAUGAUGUCCCUCAUCGGUUCCCAGAGAGUUGCCUCACUAGCACACUGGAGCCUGUGAAUAGUGUUUAAAUCAAUGGUCAAAGUGAAGAGGUCAGCUUAGUCCUCAUUACUCCCCAGGACUAAUUGACCUCUUCUGAAAAGGUACAUUCUUGAUUUGGUGAGACUCUUCCUCAUCCGGAAAGGCCAGUGAAGCAAAAAGAUCUAAUGUGAAAGGGUGGGGGCGAGGGGUCAAGGGUGGCAUUGAAGGGAGAGAAAGGUGCAGAGCAUUCACUAAAUCAUUUCCACCAGAACAGAGGGGAACAAAGGCAUCACCAUCCUGAGAGUGUUUGUGAAGGACUCAUACAGACCCAGCACUGCGCAGAGUCUGAUGACCUUUUCCUGCCCUGGAGAUUCUCAGUUUUGUCAUUUUGAUGAAUCUCUAAGUUGUGUUCACUGUGAGUAUCUCUGAUAGCAAGUAAGCAAUUUAACAUAAAAGGUCCUUUGAAAGAAAUGCAUAAAAAUUGAGUCAGGCUCAAUGCUGCUCCAAAGCAUGCCAUUUAUUUUCAAUUGUUCCCCCCAUCCAUCUCAGCUAUUAAGAAAGAGAGAAGGGAGAAAAUAAAAUGAAAUUAAAAGAAGCAAGACACAAAAAUGAAGUUUGAUUUCUUUCUGAAUCCACUGUUGGUGAUACAAAGCUCAGAUAUUUAUGCUACCAUCCCCCAAGAGCCAAAACAUUCAUUCAGUGUGUGGGAAUCAAAUCUCAGAGAAGUCAUGUUGAAUAUUCAAUUUGAUGCCUCCCGUGAGAGUGUAUAUUUAACAAUACAGAGCACCAUAAGAACAUCAGUUCCAAAUAAAAAGUAUAAUGUUGCCAUCCACUGACAACUUUGCUCUUUUUUCAGUGUGAUGGUAGUAAUACCAAAGAAGCAUUGAGAAUCCAUUAGUCUGCAAUUUGAUGGAAGUUCUACCCACAGGCUGUCCAGGAAACCUUACCUUUACAACUUGUUUCUAGGUCUUUCUCUCCCUUUCUUUAGUGAGGACUUUGGUUUCUAAGAGUUUUUGAGAAGUAAAAUUGGCACUGUUUAGGUGCACUGGCUAUUUAGAUAGUCACUAGCUAUGCGUGGUUAUUUAAAUUUAAAUUUACGUAUUUAAAUAAAAUUAAAACUUAGUUUCUUAGUCAUACUAGUCACCAUUCAAGUGCUCAGUAGCUGCAUGUGGAGUGGCUACCUUUUUGAAAGUUACAGGCUGGGCGCGGUGGCUCAAGCCUGUAAUCCCAGCACUUUGGGAGGCCGAGACGGGCGGAUCACGAGGUCAGGAGAUCGAGACCAUCCUGGCUAACACGGUGAAACCCCGUCUCUACUAAAAAAUACAAAAAACUGCCUGGGCGACAGAGCAAGACUCUGUCUCAAAAAAAAAAAAAAAAAAAAAAAGAAAGUUACAGAUAUAGAGCAUUUCCAUUUUCAUAGAAAGUUCUAUUGGACAGUACUGAUCUGUAGCCUUGUUUAUAGAAAGUGGGUCUUUGAAAUGUAGUUCCUUACCAUAGGAGAAGCAUGUUGUCAUCUAAAUCCCUAAAGUGGAAAUCUAAUGAGCAUAUUGACACUUCGUUUUACUUUCCUUUUUAGAGAGAGGUCAUCAAUGAAUAAGGAUGGCUUCUCCCAUAAUCUUUAGUUAAUGGUAACCAAGGACACAAGCAACAACAACAAAAAUCCCUCACCAUUGGAUAAAUGGCAUGGCCUUUCUGCUACUUAGAAGAAAAGACCCCCAUGGCUGUGCCAUUUUAUUUCCUUGGCUCUUUAAAAAAUUAUUUUAAAAGGUUUAUUUUUAUUUGACACACAAUAAUUGUACAUAUUUUUGAGGCAUAAUGUGACACUUCAAUACAUGGAUACAUUAUGUAAUGAUCAAAUCAGGGAAAUUAGCAUUUCUAUCACCUCAAACAUUUAUCAGUUCUUUGUAGUAAGGAAUAUUCAAAUUCCUGUCUUCUCACUAUUUUGAAAUAUACAAUACAUUAUUAUUAACUAUAGUCACCACACUGUGCAUUAAAAUACCAGAACUUAUUUCUUCUAUCAUGUUGCAUGAAUGAUGGGAGGAAUCACUUAUUGUAAAUGGGAGGAUUUCAUUCUUUUUUAUGACUGAAUAGUAUUUCAUUAUAUAUACACACACACACCCCCCUUCAACACAGCACACGACAUUUUCUUUCUUUCUUUUUUUUUUUUUUUUUUUUUUAGACAGGGUCUCACUCUGUUGCCCAGGCUGGAGUGCAGUGGCACCAUCAUGGCUCACUGUAGCCUCAACUUCCUGGGCACAGGUGAUUCUCUCACUUUAGCCUCCCAAAUAGUUGGGACUACAGACAUGGGUUACCAUACCCAGCUAAUUUUUUGUACUUUUAGUAGAGAUGGGAUUUCACCAUGUUGCCAAGGCUUGUCUCAAACUCCUGGGCUUAAUGAAUCCACUUGCCUCAGCUUCCCACAGUGCUAGAAUUACAGUCAUGAACCACUGUGCCUGGGCUAUACCGCAUUUUCUUUAUUCAUUCAUCCACUGAUGAACACUUAGGUUGAUUCCAUAUCUUGAUUAUUGUGAACAGUGUUGCGAUAAACACAGGAGUGCAGAUAGCUCUUCAAUAUACUGAUUUCAUUUUCUUUGGACAUAUACCUAGUAGUGAGAUUGCUGGAUCAUGAUCAUGUGAUAGUUCUAUUUUUAAUUUUUGGGGGAACCUCCUACUGUUUUCCAUAAUGUCUGUACUAAUUUCUAAUUUACAUUAUCAAAAAUAGUUCCUUUUCUCCACAUCUUUGCCAACACUUGUUAUUUCUCAACUUUUUUGAUAAUAGCCAUUCAAACUUGAGUGCAGUGUUAGCUCAUGGUUUUGAUUUGCAUGUCCCUGAUGAUUAGUGAUGUUGAGCAUUUUUUC